This 468-nucleotide ribosomal RNA is filed under the name uncultured bacterium. RNAcentral describes it as "partial 16S ribosomal RNA". It matches the Rfam family "Bacterial small subunit ribosomal RNA", at positions 28 to 507 of the family's 1533-position model. The record is from RNAcentral.
GACGAACGCUGGCGGCGUGCUUAACACAUGCAAGUCGAACGGAAAGGCCCUGCUUUUGUGGGGUGCUCGAGUGGCGAACGGGUGAGUAACACGUGAGUAACCUGCCCUUGACUUUGGGAUAACUUCGGGAAACUGGGGCUAAUACCGGAUAGGAGCUCUUGCUGCAUGGUGGGGGUUGGAAAGUUUCGGCGGUGGGGGAUGGACUCGCGGCUUAUCAGCUUGUUGGUGGGGUAGUGGCUUACCAAGGCUUUGACGGGUAGCCGGCCUGAGAGGGUGACCGGCCACAUUGGGACUGAGAUACGGCCCAGACUCCUACGGGAGGCAGCAGUGGGGAAUAUUGCACAAUGGGCGGAAGCCUGAUGCAGCAACGCCGCGUGCGGGAUGACGGCCUUCGGGUUGUAAACCGCUUUCGCCUGUGACGAAGCGUGAGUGACGGUAAUGGGUAAAGAAGCACCGGCUAACUACGUG